UACGGAGGGUGCGAGCGUUAUCCGGAAUCACUGGGCGUAAAGGGCGCGUAGGCGGUUUGUUAAGUCCGUUGUCAAAUCCCGAGGCUCAACCUCGGAACGGCAGUGGGUACUGGUAGGCUUGACGGCUGGAGAGGCGAGUGGAAUUACCAGUGUAGCGGUGGAAUGCGUAGAUACUGGUCGGAACACCCAUGGCGAAGGCAGCUCGCUGGACAGCUCGUGACGCUGAGGCGCGAAAGUGUGGGGAGCGAACCGG
RNAcentral lists this unclassified non-coding RNA (253 nucleotides) under uncultured Trueperaceae bacterium. RNAcentral's name for it is "contains 16S-23S intergenic spacer region". It matches the Rfam family "Bacterial small subunit ribosomal RNA", at positions 524 to 776 of the family's 1533-position model. Lineage: Bacteria; Thermotogati; Deinococcota; Deinococci; Trueperales; Trueperaceae. The record is from RNAcentral.